GAGACGGCUGGAGCCCGAGGACGAGCGCGGAGCCGCGGGCCGAGCGGGGGGCGGGAGACAGGAAGGAGGGAGGCGAGCAGAGGGAAGGGGAAGAGGUCGGGGAGCGAGGGCGGGAGCGGUCGCGGUCGCGAACGAGCAAGCAAGUGGGCGAGAGGACGCCCUCCCCUGGCCUCCAGUGCCCCGCUUCCCUCGCCGCCGCCCCGCCAGCAUGCCCGGCGUGGCCCGCCUGCCGCUGCUGCUCGGGCUGCUGCUGCUCCCGCGUCCCGGCCGGCCGCUGGACUUGGCCGACUACACCUAUGACCUGGCGGAGGAGGACGACUCGGAGCCCCUCAACUACAAAGACCCCUGCAAGGCGGCUGCCUUUCUUGGGGACAUUGCCCUGGACGAAGAGGACCUGAGGGCCUUCCAGGUACAGCAGGCUGCGGAUCUCAGACAACACACAGCUCAUAAGUCCUCCAUCAAAGCUGCAGUUGCAGGAAACACUUCUACCCCCAGCUGCCAGAGCACCAACGGGCAGCCUCAGAGGGGAGCCUGUGGGAGAUGGAGAGGUAGAUCCCGUAGCCGGCGGGCGGCGACGUCCCGACCAGAGCGUGUGUGGCCCGAUGGGGUCAUCCCCUUUGUCAUUGGGGGAAACUUCACUGGUAGCCAGAGGGCAGUCUUCCGGCAGGCCAUGAGGCACUGGGAGAAGCACACCUGUGUCACCUUCCUGGAGCGCACCGACGAGGACAGCUAUAUUGUGUUCACCUAUCGACCUUGCGGGUGCUGCUCCUACGUGGGUCGCCGCGGCGGGGGCCCCCAGGCCAUCUCCAUCGGCAAGAACUGUGACAAGUUCGGCAUUGUGGUCCACGAGCUGGGCCACGUCGUCGGCUUCUGGCACGAACACACUCGGCCAGAUCGGGACCGCCAUGUUUCCAUCGUUCGUGAGAACAUCCAGCCAGGGCAGGAGUAUAACUUCCUGAAGAUGGAGCCUCAGGAGGUGGAGUCCCUGGGGGAGACCUAUGACUUCGACAGCAUCAUGCAUUACGCUCGAAACACAUUCUCCAGGGGCAUCUUCCUGGAUACCAUUGUCCCCAAGUAUGAGGUGAACGGGGUGAAACCUCCCAUUGGCCAAAGGACACGGCUCAGCAAGGGGGACAUUGCCCAAGCCCGCAAGCUUUACAAGUGCCCAGCCUGUGGAGAGACCCUGCAAGACAGCACAGGCAACUUCUCCUCCCCUGAAUACCCCAAUGGCUACUCUGCUCACAUGCACUGCGUGUGGCGCAUCUCUGUCACACCCGGGGAGAAGAUCAUCCUGAACUUCACGUCCCUGGACCUGUACCGCAGCCGCCUGUGCUGGUACGACUAUGUGGAGGUCCGAGAUGGCUUCUGGAGGAAGGCGCCCCUCCGAGGCCGCUUCUGCGGGUCCAAACUCCCUGAGCCUAUCGUCUCCACUGACAGCCGCCUCUGGGUUGAAUUCCGCAGCAGCAGCAAUUGGGUUGGAAAGGGCUUCUUUGCAGUCUACGAAGCCAUCUGCGGGGGUGAUGUGAAAAAGGACUAUGGCCACAUUCAAUCGCCCAACUACCCAGACGAUUACCGGCCCAGCAAAGUCUGCAUCUGGCGGAUCCAGGUGUCUGAGGGCUUCCACGUGGGCCUCACGUUCCAGUCCUUUGAGAUUGAGCGCCACGACAGCUGUGCCUACGACUAUCUGGAGGUGCGCGACGGGCACAGUGAGAGCAGCACCCUCAUCGGGCGCUACUGUGGCUAUGAGAAGCCUGAUGACAUCAAGAGCACGUCCAGCCGCCUCUGGCUCAAGUUCGUCUCUGACGGGUCCAUUAACAAAGCGGGCUUUGCCGUCAACUUUUUCAAAGAGGUGGACGAGUGCUCUCGGCCCAACCGCGGGGGCUGUGAGCAGCGGUGCCUCAACACUCUGGGCAGCUACAAGUGCAGCUGUGACCCCGGGUACGAGCUGGCCCCAGACAAGCGCCGCUGUGAGGCUGCCUGUGGCGGAUUCCUCACCAAGCUCAACGGCUCCAUCACCAGCCCGGGCUGGCCCAAGGAGUACCCCCCCAACAAGAACUGCAUCUGGCAGCUGGUGGCCCCCACCCAGUACCGCAUCUCCCUGCAGUUUGACUUCUUUGAGACAGAGGGCAAUGAUGUGUGCAAGUACGACUUCGUGGAGGUGCGCAGUGGACUCACAGCUGACUCCAAGCUGCAUGGCAAGUUCUGUGGUUCUGAGAAGCCCGAGGUCAUCACCUCCCAGUACAACAACAUGCGCGUGGAGUUCAAGUCCGACAACACCGUGUCCAAAAAGGGCUUCAAGGCCCACUUCUUCUCAGUCUUGGAGGGGGCAGGGGACCGACACUCACAUCUAUCAGGCCUGGAGUUACUGCUCUGCCCCCAUGCCCUGGUCGACACUGUGCCCGCCCCACCCUCAGCCCUGCACGGAGACACACACGCCCACACGCACACACAUGUGCACACACAUUGCCCCAUCGCACAAGAAACCUGCAGAGGACCCCCACUGGGGGCAUCGAGGCUCAGCCCUCAGGGCCCGGGGCAUCUGACUCUGGCCCCCCAGGAGGGGAGCUAUUUGGACUUUUGGGACACCCACCGAGGAGACCCUAAGCCAAGAAGGAGAAGAAAGAGCCUGAAGACCUUCAGUCUGACCCCUGCCACCUUCCGGGGCAUUUGGGCACUGUAGGAAAAGAGGCCAGCUCUGCAGCCCCCUCGGGGACGCCCCCACCAGCUCAAAUUCCGAGUGCAGAAAAGAAACCGGACCCCCCAGUGAGGCCUGCCAGGCCUCCCGGACCCCUUGUUACUCAGGAACCUCACCUUGGACGGAAUGGGAUGGGGGCUUCGGUGCCCACCAACCCCCCACCUCCACUCUGCCAUUCCGGCCCACCUCCCUCUGGCCGGACAGAACUGGUGCUCUCUUCUCCCCACUGUGCCCGUCCGCGGACCGGGGACCCUUCCCCGUGCCCUACCCCCUCCCAUUUUGAUGGUGUCUGUGACAUUUCCUGUUGUGAAGUAAAAGAGGGACCCCUGCGUCCUGCUCCUUUCUCUUGCAGUCUGCUUGUCCAUGUGUCUAUUUUUCCACUUGUCCAUCUGUCCAGUAAGCAGACAAGGACGAGUGCUCCAAGGAUAACGGCGGCUGCCAGCAGGACUGCGUCAACACGUUCGGCAGUUAUGAGUGCCAAUGCCGCAGUGGCUUCGUCCUCCAUGACAACAAGCACGACUGCAAAGAAGCCGGCUGUGACCACAAGGUGACAUCCACCAGUGGUACCAUCACCAGCCCCAACUGGCCUGACAAGUAUCCCAGCAAGAAGGAGUGCACGUGGGCCAUCUCCAGCACCCCCGGGCACCGGGUCAAGCUGACCUUCAUGGAGAUGGACAUCGAGUCCCAGCCUGAGUGUGCCUACGACCACCUAGAGGUAUUCGACGGGCGAGACGCCAAGGCCCCCGUCCUCGGCCGCUUCUGUGGGAGCAAGAAGCCCGAGCCCGUCCUGGCCACAGGCAGCCGCAUGUUCCUGCGCUUCUACUCAGAUAACUCAGUCCAGCGAAAGGGCUUCCAGGCCUCCCACGCCACAGAGUGCGGGGGCCAGGUACGGGCAGACGUGAAGACCAAGGACCUUUACUCCCACGCCCAGUUUGGCGACAACAACUACCCUGGGGGUGUGGACUGUGAGUGGGUCAUUGUGGCCGAGGAAGGCUACGGCGUGGAGCUCGUGUUCCAGACCUUUGAGGUGGAGGAGGAGACCGACUGCGGCUAUGACUACAUGGAGCUCUUCGACGGCUACGACAGCACAGCCCCCAGGCUGGGGCGCUACUGUGGCUCAGGGGUGUCUUCUUCCAGAGACCUCCCCCAGGCUGAGUUGACCGGAAGGAACUUGGGGAAGGAUCAGGGGCUCCUGGCACAACUACUCGGAAUGUCCUCAAGGUUCUCAGAAAUGAUUUCUUCUGUGCCUGGAAGGCAGGGCGUUGACGUCCGAUGCUCUGAGGGCUGACCUCACUCAGUAGGCUUGCAGGAGGCACCUAAGAAGGGCUCGGGAGCAGACCUUGGCCAGCCUCCUGAGGAGGUGUACUCGGCGGGAGAUUCUGUCCUGGUGAAGUUCCACUCGGAUGACACCAUCACCAAAAAAGGUUUCCACCUGCGAUACACCAGCACCAAGUUCCAGGACACACUCCACAGCAGGAAGUGACCACUGCCUGAGCAGGGGCGGGGACUGGAGCCUGCUGCCCUUGGUCGCCUAGACUGGAUAGUGGGGGUGGGCGGAAGGCGACGCACCAUCCCUCUCCCCCAGGCCCCAGGACCUGCAGGGCCAAUGGCCUGGUGAGACUGUCCAUAGGAGGUGGGGGAACUGGACUCCGGCAUAAGCCACUUCCCCACAACCCCCCUACCAGCAAGGGGCUGGGGCCAGGGAGCAGAGCUUCCACAAGACAUUUCGAAGUCACCAUUCCUCUCUUAGGGGUCCCUGCCUGGUGGCAAGAGGGAAUGUCAGCAGGACCCCAUCGCCAUCCCUGUGUCUCUACACGCUGUAUUGUGUAUCACCGGGGGCAUUAUUUUCAUUGUAAUGUUCAUUUCCCACCCCUGCCCCAGCCUCGAUUUGGUUUUAUUUUGAGCCCCCAUUCCACCACCCCAGUUUCCUGGGGCACAAGUGUCUGUGCAUGUCCCCCAGGAGCCACUGUGGGGAGCCGAUGGGGAGGGGAUGGAGAAACAAGACAGGGCUUCUCUCAGGCCCAGUGGCCGGUCAGCCCCACCAGGGCACCGCAGCCAAUAAACCGAAAGUGUUACAGCCAA
Molecule: RNA transcript, 4777 nt
Organism: Pan troglodytes (chimpanzee)
Lineage: Eukaryota; Metazoa; Chordata; Mammalia; Primates; Hominidae
Gene: BMP1
Gene name: bone morphogenetic protein 1
Exons: 23
Source: RefSeq, a predicted model, not a curated record